Molecule: ribosomal RNA, 253 nt
Filed under: uncultured bacterium
Lineage: Bacteria
Description: partial 16S ribosomal RNA
Rfam family: Bacterial small subunit ribosomal RNA
Source: RNAcentral
UACGUAGGGUGCAAGCGUUGUCCGGAAUUAUUGGGCGUAAAGAGCUCGUAGGCGGUUUGUCGCGUCUGCUGUGAAAACUCGGGGCUUAACUCCGGGCUUGCAGUGGGUACGGGCAGACUAGAGUGCGGUAGGGGAGAUUGGAAUUCCUGGUGUAGCGGUGGAAUGCGCAGAUAUCAGGAGGAACACCGAUGGCGAAGGCAGAUCUCUGGGCCGUAACUGACGCUGAGGAGCGAAAGCAUGGGGAGCGAACAGG